GGUGUGUGGUGGGAAAGACUGUAGCCUUGUUGACUUUGUGUUAAUCAUCACACCUGCUUAAGGAAGUACCAGAGAGACAGGCAGAUUUGCAGGCUAAUGAAAUGCAGGCCUAGAUGGAACAGAGCAAUAGAUCUGUCAAAUAUCUCUGCACAGACAGCAAGUGGUAUGGCUAGCAGCUGRUAUGAUUACCAGGGAACAUGUACUGAGGGAGGGUCAACAAUCAAAAGUGAAGCUCUGAGGUGGCCGCCGCUGUGGAUGAUAGAAAGGAGGAACAAUUAGGGAAGGAGGGGGAGAAUCAGAAAACAUCGAAGAAAAGCUAUGAAGAAAAGCRUGGUCAGCAGUAGCUGGCAGGUUGCAGUGGAAGAGGCUGGUUUAGAGCUACUCCUGAGCUGUGCUUUGAACCAGAUCACUAGACAUCCUGGACAGCAUCACAAUGGCCCAAAAUACAUUCCUCYGCACCCCAGCCCCCACCCAUCUUCUCCAAACCACAAAGGCAAGUGUUCAGUGAUGAUUUCUCAAUGUCUAUUUCUCUUUUUCAGUACUGGCRAAAAUGGCAUAAGUAAUCAUGACAAAGAAAAAUACAAUUGCUUAGUUACUAGUAUCGGUGCUUUAGUGAAAAGGACAUUUCGCCACAGUGUUGAUCCCAAUGGUUCAAAAAUACUAACCAAGUCUUUGAUAUAUCAGCCCCUGCUACAGUGGUACUGCGUGAGGCUAGGGGCUGAUAUGCUCAGCAGAAAUGCAUAUGCUGCAUCUCAGGCAGUUGGUUAAACUAAGACUUCAACUCCUUCCUGAAGAGACAUGUAGUGGAGAGGAACAUGACCAGCAGACCAUUCAGGAGAUAGCCUUGCCAGGUUUCUCCUAGGAUAUGCUGUCCUGGAGGAGAUGUCUGGAGGAGAUGUCUGGAGCCUCUAGACACAAUCAUUGGACAAUUCUGUAAACCUCCAAGAGGUUAGGUUCCCUGACUUCCAGUGUUUGCUCUGACUUUGCUCUUGGCUCUCUCUGCUUCCCCAUCUUCUUCAGCCUGCAGUUGGACUGCCCUCUCUUCUGCCUCCUUGCAUGCGUAGAAAGCUCCACUCUAAGGGAUGUACAGAUUCAGAGAAAAAAUGAAUGCUGCUUUGCCCACCUGCUGUUCCACGUGUUAGGGCUUUGCGCAGCAGGAGGGAGUGUGCUAGGCAGGGAGAUGCUGCCAGACUCUGCUCCCAACCCCUCACUGAGUCUUACAGAUGCUGAGUUUGCCCAGGUGGGUUUUCACGGUCUUUAGGAGUAGCACAUAAUGGAGUUACCACUCCUCUAGUCCCCAGUUUUGGACUUCUUUCUGCCCUGUGCUGUUCUUCUGUAUAUUUCUCUCCCAAAGGGUAUGUAUCUUCCUGCAUAUACAUUCUAAAAAUAAAAGAAAAUAAACAUAUGUCUUUGGCA
This 1416-nucleotide long non-coding RNA is filed under the name Dromaius novaehollandiae (emu). RNAcentral describes it as "lncRNA (ENSDNVG00000015288.1)". The record is from RNAcentral. Lineage: Eukaryota; Metazoa; Chordata; Aves; Casuariiformes; Dromaiidae.